This 9254-nucleotide long non-coding RNA is filed under the name Gallus gallus (chicken). RNAcentral describes it as "lncRNA (ENSGALG00010016596.1)". Lineage: Eukaryota; Metazoa; Chordata; Aves; Galliformes; Phasianidae. The record is from RNAcentral.
AGCAGUGAUGCAGCACCUGGUGGGAAGGCAGGGCCAACCCAAGGGAGCUCAGGUGUAAGCAAUGCAUCUGAGUGACCUGAAGGGCUGGAGCCAGGAUCCACCCCUUCCAGCCCUCAUUUAAGGGCUGUCAGUGAAAGGGCAGGUAUCUCAUCUGAAGAUCUCUCUGUAUGACAGAGCCUCACAGGCAUCCUGAAGAGCUUGCUGUUGGUUGGACUUCUCAGCUUGUUGCCCAUCCUUCCCAACACCAGAUGUUAGGAAACAUGUGACAGCAGCAUGGUUUGGACUGAAUGUAGCAGCAUGGCUCAAUCAGUCAAUAAGGAAAGGAAGAACAAACACUCAUCAAAUUCAAUGUUGAUAUGGAUAUCUUUACUUGAAAUGGUGGUGAUGCUGCUGGAAUCUGCUGAGAAGCAUCGCCUUGAGGCUGACUCCUCCACACCUGUGGAGUGUCAGGGCCAACCAUUGCCCAUGCUGGUGAGCUUUGGGGAGGAGCAGGUCAGACAGAGCCACAGCACUCUAUUACAGAAGCCUCGUGACCAAGACAGAUGCCAGUAGCUGGAACCUUGGCAAACUAAAUAAAAAAGAAAAGAAGUGGAACUCUAUUCGUCUCUCAUGUACUGAUUGCUCCCUCGUGUGACACUUCUAAAUGUAAGUGAAAAGGAACAAGUCCUUCAUCCUACACCUCUGAAUUCUGGCACGGGUUUGGUUUGUGGUGUGACCUGUUGAGAAGCCUCCUGCUGGCUCUCCGUGUGCUGCAGUGUCCUUACCCAUGGCAUGCAGUCUCUGUAUGCUUUAGAAUUAAACAAAUGAGAAAGUUGUGCAGCUUAAACCCUCUUCCAAACCUCAGUAAUUGUCUUCCCCCCCCACCCAGUUUCAGAAAACACAAAUCCAUCCCAUGCUGCUCUCACAGUUACUGCUGGUUUAUAUCUGGGCAGAAGCAAUUGGUGCAAGAAGCAUUGCUUAUAGGACAGUGCCUAAAAAUACUUCCAAAGGUCACUGCACAUCAGACAGCAGGCAGUGCUUGUUCCAGCGAAUCGCCCUGAGAACUGCAGGUCUUUGUUAAUGUUAAUUGUGUAUAUUUUAAACAACCCAUGUUUUAAAAACAGUGCAAACAGGAGGCAGUAAUGCUUGGUGAGCCCUGAGGAAUGGAGGGCGCUUCCUCACCCAUGGUUUUGGGCACAGAGGUUUGCUGUUCUUGAUAACUUCAAGGUUUGUCAAUUAGAGCCGUGUUAUGCAUAUGCUUGCAGAAAAGUGGGGGCAUUUCCAUGCUCACCGCUUUCAAGAAUACCAGUGAAGCAAUGACCCAGAAGUACCAUGAGGAUGUGUAGCUUGUCCUUUGCGCAGACAUUCACCAUGGCUGUGCUUAUAAUUGCAACCAUGGGCACUGAAUGUGAGAUAAAGGCCCAGCCCCAUGUGCUCUCAAGUAUUUCCCCAGAAACAGAUGUGUGCUGGGAGGUGUGAGUGAUGUGUGAAUAGUGCUGAAUGGGAUUGCUGUGCUCUUGGUCUGGGAUGAAGGCAUAUAUUUCCAGCAUCCCAGAAGGGCGACCUUGCAAUGGACCUCUUCUGUUUAUAUUUGACCACUCGAUUUCAUCUCUGCCCACCAAAUGCUUUUAUUCUGGAUUUGAGAAAGCACAGUUGCUUGGAUGGAUGCUGCAGAGUAUUUGGCACUUAUGGGUACGCUUUGUACAAGCAGCGUUCCCAGCAGGAUUCUGUGGGCUUUGUCCACCUCCCUGUGGCUGAGGUGGGAACACCCAGCGCUGUCUGCCCACUUCACAGUGCUCAUCUCUCUCUCUCUCUCUCUCUCUCCCAACCACAGAGUACAAUGACAAGCCUCCAGCUCAUUCCUGCUCUAGCUGCAAUGGGAGGGGAGGUGCUGGUUGCAGGGGGAGGUGCCCCCUCCUGGGCCCUCUCGGUUCCCAUCACUGGAUGUCCCCACCUCUGCUCCCAAGAGCAUUUUCCCUGUGAGGACCUGUCCCUGAGCAUCUCCCACCAGCAUCCCAUAGCUCUUAGGCAAGUAACACUCUUGCCUUUUUCUCAAAUACUAUUCAAACAUACAUUUUAUGUGGAGAUGCUGACGGACAACAACAUCUGCUCUCUCAGCUCAUGGGCUCUUAUUUGGAUUGUAAUUACUCCAUUGGCUGUGAUCUGUUCUCUGUUUGCCCACUAUCUGUUUCUGUCAGGUCUCAGUCUCCUACAAACCACCCAUUAUGUGGUGGUGAUAAUUAAAUCUCCCUGCUCCAGACCGGGCUGAGCAGCACAGGGAGGGCCUUCCUUGUCCUGACAGCUGCCAGAGCCACAGCCCCUAACGAUGCCCCGAUCACCUGCCUGCUCUGCAGGACAGGACACCUAUUUGUUCCAAACAAGCUCUUUCAGCAGCUGUCAGAUGCUAAUGGCUUUCAGCUGCUGCCAACCUGUGCCCUAUGCAAACCAGGGGCGCAUCAUGGAAAUGUGCGUAAAUAUUCAUGUGAGGCUGACAAAACCAGAAGUGCAAAUGCAGUUAUCGGAGCUCUUGCAUGAAUGUGCCAUAGCCUGCCCUGUUGUUUCGGUUUUAGUGUGAGGGACACAGUGCAAAUGUUCUGAAGUGAUGUUGCCCUUUUAUGUCUGUGAUUAAAAAAUCCGCUGAAGGCAGUGGGGAUGCAGAGGCACAUGGGUAAGAGCAAAUUUGGGUCCCUAUGUAAUGUGGGUGGUUCCGGACUGAUAAUGCUCUAUUCUGUGGGUUGCGUACUGAAAUUUUACUGAGAGAAAGGAGUUGCUUUGUUUAAUCGUGUCUGCAUUCUAUUAUGAAGAGCUGAAGGUGUCUCAGCAGAAUGUGAGAGCCCAGUGACUGUGUUCGGUGCUUCAGUGUUUGAUUCAGCCAUUCCCAGCACAGCGGACUGCACGACUGGGUGAGGACUUGACAAUCUCCCCCAUCGCAGCUCCCUCGAGCACCAAAGUUUUGACACACACACGUGAGCUGUGCAAACUCUAUUACAAUUUAAUUCUAUCAGUGGUUCUGCAGGGGGACUGCAUUAAAAUACUUUGUUAGCUGUGCACCUUUGCUUUCCCCAGCAAGUCCUGGAUAACUGUGCUGAGAAGGUGCGUUCGUGCAAAGUUCCCAUUAAAACUCAUUAAAAAUUGCCAUCUGUGGCACUGCAUGAAAGGGGGUUGAGGGCAGGGGCUGAGUCCUGGGUGGCACUGACCCCGUGAGGAGCGCUCCUUGGGUUUCUGCAGGCGAGGCAGGCUCUGUGCAGGCACCCAGCUGGCAACUGUCCUCUAUCACUUGUGUACCUGCAUUUCUGGGAUAGAUAGGCCCUGCGAAAAUGAAGUUAAUUCAGUGUUUCAGAUAUAGACCGUUAUUUUAAUUAAAAAUAGUAUUAUGAUAGUUAUGCAAAAUGGUUCAAAUAUUCUGCAGCUUGAUAUAAUAAAAAUUAGAAGAUACAGGUGUUGUUUCUGAGCCAUCAGAUUUCCACUGCCACAGUGCUUUGGUAAAAUGAAAAGGAGAAGCAGAGCCAUGUGCUAAUCCCUUCCUUUGUUGCUUAAGGGAGAUUUCAGUAUAGAGUACCAAUUUCCAUAUCAUUUGAAUAGCAGUUGCAGCCCAUUGGUGUUUAAAGUGAAAUGUGCAACUACUAUAAUCAGCAAAACAGAUGCAAAUGCCUUGUCUGUCUUUAAAUGCAGUCCCCUCCUUGCUGUUUCAAUUAGAUUUAGCAUGGAAAACUUGAUCAGAUAAUUAAAAACAAGAGCUAUUCUUCCACUUCUCAUAGCAGUAGCUGCUCCUUCAGAGGCAGCUCUGGGUGUGGGGCAGCCACCCUCCCCUCCCUGAGACAGCAGUGCCCUUCCAGUUCUGCUUAUGCCCAGCAGCUCCCACAGCAAGUGUCUGCGUGUCUGUGCAAGGAAGUGACACACAAAUAAGUGCCAUUCAGCAGUUUGAUCCCAGGCAGUGGUUGUGUGUGAGGGGGACUGCACGGCAGGAUGAAGUCCCACGGAGCCCCCUGAGCCCAGCUCUGGGCAGCUGCAGUCCAUCCCCAGAGGGUUUUUUAGCUCUGAAAAGAAACAUGGUAUGAAGAAAGGGUUUACUUUAUCCUUCAUGUUUCUGAAUGAAAUCAUGAGCACGUGGUGUGUCAGCUCCAGAAGGCUAAUUUCAUCUUCUCCAUGUGGUAGGAGAGCAGGGGUGGGCGAUGCCUCCAAACAGGUUGCUGACAGAACGAAAAGCCCUGGUUUGCUUCCUCCAAAAUGCUCUUCUGGGGAAAGGAUGUAAUUGUUGUUGUUGUUAUUUUUACUUUUCCUAACCAAGAGAUGCCUUAUGGAAAAGGAUUCCCACCUCGUGACCAGCUGCGGUGAUGAAACCCUCCUGGGACACUCAGGGCAGACCGGGAUGCUUUCAGCAAGAAGCAAUGCUCAUCUGUUGUGCUCACGUGUGAGUGGUGAAGGCCACACUAAUGCCGUGCCAGCCUGGUAGGAUGCGAAACAAAAUGUGUCAGGGUUGGUCCCUUCAGGGGAGCACCCCUGGAACAGCAGAGAGCCAGAGGGAGUGGGACACAGGCUGUCCAUUACAGGGCACCCAGCUCUGAUGUGCAGCUCAGGCAGCCACAUACAGGGGCACAGAAUGGUGCAGCCUUAGCAGAAGCGGGCUGCUGCUGCUCCUGAACUUCUGGGAAGGUUUGAGCCCAGUAUUGUUGCUCAGGUUGUUUUCUGUUCCAGGAUGCCUCCUGUGCUUGCUACAGUGGCAUUAUAAAUUCAUGCCUGUAUUUUUUUUUCUCCAGGAAAAAAUGUGAAGCUCAUGCUCUAAUCUAGAAAUAGUAAAGCGCUGCAGGGUUCAGUGCUGGAGUUCACUGGAAAAUCUAUUUGCUUUACUGGGAAAGGGUGGUGUUUUUUGUUUUUUAUUUUGUUUUUUGUUUUUUUUUAAUGUAUUACAAACAAAACAAAUUUGGAAAGCAUAUUUUAAAUACAGAGGCCUGAGAGCUGUGUGAGCUGAGGUUGGGGUCAGUGUGGUGGGAGCUCAGGUGCCCUUGGAACAGCCUCCGGUGUGCACAUGGACCGUACAGGGGAGGCUGUUAAAAAGGAAUAAUUCCGUUCUUUAAUUCUUACUUUCCAGUUAUAUUCUGUGAUGCCACCGCUGAUUACACUGAAGAUAUUCUGACUGCUGUCAGUGGAGUGAGAGGUGGACUGCGCCUGAAUGCUUGGAAGGACAGUUAAAUGUGAUCUCAAAUCAAAUUCUUAAGGACUUUAUGAGUUCCUUUUAUUUGGGGGCAUGUAACUAAAGGAGAUGUUCAGCAUGUUCCUUGGUGGGUGCCAGAAAGCUUAUUUUCAGAAGUAUCUGAGGCUCAGGGAAAGUCAACGACGGCUAUAUUUACCCUGAAGUCUGUGCAACUGCUGCCAAAAUCGAGCCAUGUUCUUUUUGUAGGAAUAACCAUGAGAAACAACAGCAUUUGGAGGAAGGACCGGGCACCAUACAUGUGACUUAUCUGACAUAGAAUGACGUAGAUGUCUUAAAUGGGGUCCAAUAGGCCACCUGAGGUUGUGCCUUGAGUGCUGUCAUCAGAAGGGCAGAUGGGAAAGGAGACAUUAACUCUCGGUGCUAUUGGUAGGCAUUGUUUCCACAGAAGCCCCCUCCCCUGUUUGGCCCGUGGCUGUGUCCUGGUGGAGCUGGGCCAGGCGUUGUGCCACUGUCUGCUGACAGGAUCCAAUUUCUUCUUAUGUGGAAAUAUAAAUCUUGGCCCUUCGAUCAUGUGAACCAUAAAAGAGGGAAACGCCUCUUCGUUUUACUUGAAAAAAGAAAAGUCGGAACUAUCCAGAACUGCUCGUUACAAAACAGUGACAGAAGAGCUUCCUUAAAUCAAACAGAGCUCUCAUUUUGCUGUUGGACCGUCCCACAGAGUGCUGCGUUCCCACCGUUUCUGCUCAGGGGAAGUGCUCUGUCAGCUCAGACCGUGAGCAGCUCUCCAGGGAGCACACAGCAGGGCUCAGGGCCUGGCGAGGAAAUGGGUUUCUGUGCUUUUGGGGUGCACCACAGGAAGGGGAGGAAUUACCCAGAGAGAGGAGGGGAGCGGCAGCUGACCAGCAACAAGCAGAGCAGCUGAGCCCUCGUGGCCAUGCCUCCAUGUCACCGUGCCCUGCUGCUGUGCCCCUCAGUGCCACGUCUCCCCUUGCUGGGCAGGCAGCCAGCUCAGUGCUGAAGGCAGGCAGGCUUCAGCCAAAGCUCUGCGGUGGGGAUUGUGGGGUGGUGGCAGCUCUGGAGGGGACCCCGUGGGGUUGGGAACCCUCUGGGCAGGCGCAGAGGAUCAUGAGACCCAGCAGGAAUGGCGGAGUGCAGCUGGAUGCACAGCAGGGUCUGGUGCAUGGAGGAGCUUCCAGCACCUCAAAGCUGGCAUUUCACCUGCCCCAAACCCCAGCUGUUUCUACAGGCCACGUUUGGUGUGAUUUAUAGCAGGUUUGGUUGUUCCACACUUGCCAAGCAGCGGGUAAGGUCUGUGGCAGCAGCCAGGCUCAGCAGCAGCCCAGCCACUGCUUCAUCACAGGUUGGUUAGCUUGCAGCCCGAGGCAAACCUGAAAUCAUUAACAGCCCAUUUGCUGGGCUAAUGACUCUUUUUUACUAGAUGUAUAAUUUAAUAUAUGGUAACUUUCAUGCUUAAUUACACUCUUCAAAGCUUCUUUUGAAGGAAUUUAUUUUUCUGCACGCAUUUAUUAAAAGGUGUUGGGAGCUGGCUGGCUUGCUUCCCUGAUAUCCUGCAUUAAAAACCAAAUCAUUUCUUUAAGGAGACUUUAAUUGAGAUAUGAGUAUUUCCUCCUCUGCAACUUCUCGCAAUAUUUUUAACCUCAAGUGUUGGGAAAAAAACAAAUAAGGGUGUAUUACCAAGAUGUUUCAAACAGCAUCGUUCUGUGCCCUACUGCAACCUGCCCCGUCGUUCUGCACACGGCGCAGACCCAAACCCUUCCCGCACAAUGCAAGGCUUGAGCUCAGCAGCCUGGCCCUGUUCCAGCCCAUUUCAUGUCUGACUCAGCAGUGAGUGCCCCUGCCGUGCUCUGUAACCUCAGUGGGAGCACAGAGAGGCUCCUGUAAGUGCUGUUAAUCCCACGUGCCAUUGGCAUGUGGCACUUGUAAGGCUUGCUGGGAUCAGUUUGGAUGAAAGAGGCUACGCAUGUAAGACGUUUUCCAUUGGCAUCCCAAAUCCGUUACUAUAUCAAUGAAAGAAGGGUAUGACUUUGUCGAUCGUGAUGCUUUUUUUGAGCUAGGCAGCUGAUCGAGGGGAUGGUCGUGAAUUUGGGUUUCUUUCUGUGAGCUCUACUGUCCCCUUCAUGGAGAUUAAAAAUUUCCCAGUACUGUUUUCAGCUCCGCAGAGCAAAUCAAAGAUAAUCUCCUGCUUGGAUAUCCUCACGCUAUUGCGAUCCACUAAUAGGAUCACCAUCCAGUUUUGACUUAACAGGCACCGGGAGAGGAUAAUCCUGUUUAUUCGGUCAUCCAAAGCACUGAUGAUCUGAGAUAAUCGGUGGCUGAGAGCAGCGAGGAGGGACGCGUGAGGUGCUCCGUGCCUGGAUGGAUGAGUCAGAUGCUCAGCACUGGGGAACGGACUGAGCUCACCCCUGCAGCCCCAACAGGGCGUGGAGAGCCCCAGCCAACCUCACAAAGAAGACAGAAAGUGGAGAAGCCAACCAGGUGUUCGGGGCCCUGCAGGUGGGAUAUUCAUGUAUGGCUGUUUGAUCAGCCCUGAAGGGCAGAGUUCUUGCUCUCCAACCUUCCUUCCUUUGCACCCUACAAGUCAGUGCUGAACACUGUGCUCCUCCUGAUGGUGCUUCAGGGCUCCUCGUGCAGAGCUCCAUGCUGCAGCACAGCCCUGAAGACAAGGGCACAUCUCUGCUGAAGGCACCGCUGCUGCACUUCGGCCACCAGGCUGAAGUAGUGGCUGCACUCCUCCGAAGGCACCACAGGUGUUGGCCCGCAGGGAGCAGCAGCAGAGCGGCACGGGGCUGCUUUCCUCCCGGAGCCCCUCGGGGCUGGCAGCGCCCAGGAAUGGAUCUGCAGACCCCCAGGAGGGAAGGCACGACCCCACCGACCUGAGGGCAUCACACCGUGCUGGGGAGUGAGCACAGCCGGGGCUGUCCGCGUGGCCACAUCUGAGCAGGGCGAGAUCUCGUGUGACAGCCACAGCCCUGCACAGCAGCAGCGUGGGACCAUCGGGAGAGCAGUGGCUGUGUGCCUUCACAAGUGCAUUCUGCAGCGUAAGCACGAGGCAGGAGCUGACAGCCCCACCUGCACUCACAUCUUGCUGGGCCUGAUGACAGCAUCUGUUGCAGGAAAUAUCGAGAGUGUGAUAUCAGUGGAGCUGGAUCCUUUGCUGAGGACUCUCCUGGUACCUCCACAGCCAUUCCUGGUGGGAAACCAGAGCCAACCCGUGCCCCACUUUUUGGUGUGCGUGCAGCACCCACCUGCUUUCUGCUGCCAUGAAUGCAAUGUUUGGAUACCACUGGAGAGGCGCUCGGGCUCUGGUAGCAUUUGUUUCCACCCACCUUCUCCAGUUUGCUCCAUGAAAGCCAUCGGCUGCCUCGCACAGACCCGGAGCUCCUUCUGCAUGGAGCUGUGGGACAGUGAUGGGAGGAGGAGGAGGAGGAGCAGGAGCUGGAGCUGGAGCUGGAGCUGGAGCUGGAGCUGGAGCGAGGCUGCUCCCCAGGAGCCUCAGGAGUCGCUUGGGGCUGAAGAGCGAGGAGAAGCUCGUUUGUUAUGCAAAUAUCUGCUUCGGCCUGGCCUGGCAUAGGCAGUGGAAAGCUCUUGAAUUAUUUUAAGCAGAGGACAAAAGUUCUUUCCCUCCCCCUAUCAUCUUGGAUCCUUAUUAAAACAAAACAAAACAGAAACCUCUGUGUGAACCAUCUGAGGAUGAUCAGUGCUGUGCUUUGCUGGCAAGAGCGGUGUGGCCAGGAGUGCACAGGCGCAGGGAAAUAGAACAAUUAAGACAAAAAAAAAUGCAUUGGAGGCAGACAGGCUUUAUUUUGUUUGGAUGGCAGCACAAACGAAGCACCCUCCAGCCUUAUCGCCACCAGCAUGCUAGGGGCAGGCAGGCCACAGAGGGACUGGGCUGUCACUGGGCGACCGGCUGAGGCACGGCCACCUGCGGCAGGGAGGGCACUGGGCAGCCGUUCCCGGGAGCCACUCGGGAUGGUUGGUUUUAUGGCUGGUUUGGUGGGAGGCUGGGUUAGAUGGCUGGUUUGGGUGCAUGAAACACAACUCGAGGAGCCACCCAUGCGUGUCUUAGAGGACAGGGCUGUCCCACCAUGGAACGAUGCAGGAG